UUUUUGUUUGUUUUUG
This 16-nucleotide small RNA is filed under the name Arabidopsis thaliana (thale cress). RNAcentral describes it as "ATSL106480". Lineage: Eukaryota; Viridiplantae; Streptophyta; Magnoliopsida; Brassicales; Brassicaceae. The record is from RNAcentral.